UGCCCAGACUCCUACGGGAGGCAGCAGUGGGGGAUAUUGCACAAUGGGGGGAACCCUGAUGCAGCGACGCCGCGUGGGUGAAGGAGUGCUUCGGCAUGUAAAGCCCUAUCGGCAGGGAAGAAGCAAGACGGUACCUGACUAAGAAGCCCCGGCUAACUACGUGCCAGCAGCCGCGGUAAUACGUAGGUGGCAAGCGUUGUCCGGAUUUACUGGGUGUAAAGGGAGCGUAGACGGCGCUGCAAGUCCGGAGUGAAAGCCCAUGGCUUAACCAUGGUACUGCUCUGGAAACUGUGGAGCUUGAGUGCGGGAGGGGCAGGCGGAAUUCCUAGUGUAGCGGUGAAAUGCGUAGAUAUUAGGAGGAACACCAGUGGCGAAGGCGGCCUGCUGGGCUUUUACUGACGCUGAGGCUCGAAAGUGUGGGGAGCAAACAGGAUUAGAUACCCUGGUACG
Molecule: ribosomal RNA, 450 nt
Filed under: uncultured bacterium
Lineage: Bacteria
Description: bacterial SSU rRNA
Rfam family: Bacterial small subunit ribosomal RNA
Source: RNAcentral